Molecule: long non-coding RNA, 420 nt
Organism: Corvus hawaiiensis (hawaiian crow)
Lineage: Eukaryota; Metazoa; Chordata; Aves; Passeriformes; Corvidae
Exons: 2
Source: RefSeq, a predicted model, not a curated record
GGGAACCCUGUUCCCGAGGGGCCUGGGUGGGGAGAGUGGUUGAGAUGAUGGUGGGAUUGUGUGGAAGCUGAAAGAGGUGUGUGUGGUGGAUGACUGUUAUGUUCUCCCUGUGGUGCUGUUGUUUUGGGUUUCCGCUAACAAUAAAACAAAAUGUAGCAAGUUUUCCAGAAAUAGAAAAAUUGUUAUAUUGUAUUGAUAUGUAUUUGGCUUGUGUUGCUCUGUAUUGGUCUGUAUUUGUGUUUGCUGCUGCAUUUCCAUGUAUUGCUCUGUAUGCAAAUUGGACUUUUACCAGUGUGUAUAUGGGUUGUAUUUGUAUACAUUGUUGUUUCUGUAUUUUGUGCUAGAGUGUAAAUACAAAAAUCCAUUCAAUAAAGUUGAAUAAACCCUAAAACCCUAAUAAAGAUACCCACCCCCCCCCCC